Long non-coding RNA from Scylla paramamosain (green mud crab), 677 nucleotides. RefSeq lists it as uncharacterized. The transcript has 4 exons. NCBI's taxonomy places the organism in Eukaryota, Metazoa, Arthropoda, Malacostraca, Decapoda, Portunidae. The record is from RefSeq and is a predicted model, not a curated record.
AACUGUUUCGAGGGACCGAGUCGAAUCGCAGAGUCUUGUUCCGAUACUCGUACCUCCGCCUGCCAAAAAAAAACCCAGUGGCUGGCGGCGCCUGGCGAGGAGAGGGUCUGUGUACACCGGUGCUGGCAGGGCGAAAGCCGGAAAAAACGUGACUUGUCCGCGAGAUGACUACCAGCGGGAUACGAAACCGAAAAUCAAGAUGCUGCUUCAAAAAGAUAUGAGUAACUUUAUAGCACGGGUUUCGAAAACGGGAAGAAUGUAGGAGUUGGGAAGACAUUGCAUGUCCUCGCAUUCCUCCCUCUCUGCACAAACAAGCUGAUGAACAAGGAAGUGUGUGUACUGAGGAGGACUUCUGGCUACUGGAGCCUCCAAGCAAGACUGGUGAAGUCUGAGGAGGAAACCAGAAAAUGAGCAAUAUACCGAGUAGGAUCAAUGUGCACUGCUCUUUCAUGACACACCAUUUGAAUUCUAUGGAGAGAGAGCAGAAGACACGAAAACACUUGCACAAGAGAAUAAGCAUAACAGGGUCCCUGUAACAGAACCUGAAACCAGAAUUGUGGAAAAUUAUCAACACCCACACCCCAUCCUGGCGGACAUCUCACAUGAAGACCCCACUCUUUUUUCCUAAAGGGUUCUUAUGUAUGUAUAGAAACCCACAAAUUGUGCAUCUACAACAA